CAAGAAGUAGCUUACUUAGAAUAUCGGCUUUGGGUGCCUGAUGGUGGGGGCAAAU
Molecule: transfer RNA, 55 nt
Filed under: Mus terricolor (Earth-colored mouse)
Lineage: Eukaryota; Metazoa; Chordata; Mammalia; Rodentia; Muridae
Description: partial tRNA-Pro
Source: RNAcentral